GGGGAAUAUUGCACAAUGGGCGAAAGCCUGAUGCAGCAACGCCGCGUGAGCGAUGAAGGCCUUCGGGUCGUAAAGUUCUGUCCUAAGGGAAGAAUUUUGACGGUACCUUGGGAGGAAGCCCCGGCUAACUACGUGCCAGCAGCCGCGGUAAUACGUAGGGGGCAAGCGUUAUCCGGAAUCACUGGGCGUAAAGGGUGCGUAGGCGGCCUUUCAAGUCAGAGGUGAAAGGCUACGGCUCAACCGUAGUAAGCCUUUGAAACUGUAGGGCUUGAGUGCAGGAGAGGAAAGUGGAAUUCCUAGUGUAGCGGUGAAAUGCGUAGAUAUUAGGAGGAACACCAGUGGCGAAGGCGACUUUCUGGACUGUAACUGACGCUGAGGCACGAAAGUGUGGGGAGCAAAC
RNAcentral lists this ribosomal RNA (400 nucleotides) under uncultured bacterium. RNAcentral describes it as "bacterial SSU rRNA". It matches the Rfam family "Bacterial small subunit ribosomal RNA", at positions 356 to 773 of the family's 1533-position model. The record is from RNAcentral.